GCUGACGUAGCUCAGUUGGUAGAGCAGCUGAUUUGUAAUCAGCAGGUCCGGGGUUCGAGUCCCCGCGUCAGCU
This 73-nucleotide transfer RNA is filed under the name Gemmatimonadota bacterium. RNAcentral's name for it is "Gemmatimonadetes bacterium tRNA-Thr". It matches the Rfam family "tRNA". Rfam says of the family: Transfer RNA (tRNA) molecules are approximately 80 nucleotides in length. The record is from RNAcentral. Lineage: Bacteria; Pseudomonadati; Gemmatimonadota. RNAcentral also lists the same sequence under 1 other name.